UCUGCCUCCUCCUCGACCCUGGUAUGUGCCCAAGCCUCCCACGCCGCCGCCACCGCACGUCAUCCCGCUCGCCGCCACCGCACGUCAGCUCGCUCACUGCCCACGCCCGCCGCGGCCGCACCUCAGCCCGCUCGCCCCCCAUGCCGGCGCGGCCGCUCGCCAUUCCCCGCCGCAACCCAGCCACCUCUGUCGCUGCUGCUAGCCGAUGCGCCACAAUAUAACUUUUUGCGAUGCACUCCUACCUGUAGCCCAUCUCAAACCAUCGAAACAGUCCAAGGAUAUUGCAACAGCUGCCGGCUGCGAUAAAACCAAGCCACUUCUCGGGAGGCAAACACAAGAGCACUCACCCAGCAAGACCUGGAAGCCAUGCAUGGCCUUCCUCCAAGCUUAGCUGCCUCCCGAAGCUCAACAUGUCAUGCUGCUUCAACAAAUCGUCCCAGCCUCCGUUCAAAGUUCACUUUGCUACUGCUAAUGGGAAGCAUUCAGCCCUCCUGCACUCGCAUGGUGUUGUUUGCGCUCGACGCGUGCAUCGUCAACGACACCGGAGGAGUCUGCAGCGCCGGCCCUGCGGGCGCCGGCUCUCCGAAGCACUGUCCCAUCGAGUGGCGCUAUCUUCCGUGGGUGCAUGCCAUGCCGCAAGGUGGACCACGCCGUGUGCAUCGCAUGGCGGAGAAGCGCAUUGCAGCUAAUCUACGGCGCCACGAGGAGCUAUUGGCUGCUGUAGCAGUGUCACGCUAGAGCAAGAGGUUGGACACUAAUGAUUCUGAGAGGACAUGCACAAGCUCGCUGACGGCAAUGCAGCAAAGUGGUGUUUGUCAUACGAAGGCUCCAUCCUGCAGUAGGGGUGCUCCGAAUGACAAAGGCAACAAGCUAUAUGGGCAUGUGUGCAGUUAAAGAGUAGAGGCGUAGGAUUAUAGCUAAACAAGUAUUCCCUCUUAUAUUUCAGUUUUUUUCAAACAUAUGUUGAGAUCUAUUGCUCAAUGAGAAAGGUAGAACCAGUGUAAGAUUUUGAGCUGCAAUAUUAGAAAGGUGAAAUUUCAUUUAGUCCUAAAAAAAUAUUGACUGUUCUUUCACAGGACAAUCUACCCGCAAAUGCAUCAACAUUCAUAUGAGGAACAAAUGCACUGGCAUAUCAUGUGCAGGGGAAGACAUGCGGUAUUAUGGCAGUUCUUUUUAUUUGUUUCUUUCAAUGUUGGAUAAUGUCUACACCACUUAUUCAUAAUUGGUACAGGUAAC
Molecule: long non-coding RNA, 1236 nt
Organism: Triticum aestivum (bread wheat)
Lineage: Eukaryota; Viridiplantae; Streptophyta; Magnoliopsida; Poales; Poaceae
Exons: 3
Source: RefSeq, a predicted model, not a curated record